CCUACGGGCGGCAGCAGUAGGGAAUCUUCCACAAUGGGCGAAAGCCUGAUGGAGCAACGCCGCGUGGGUGAAGAAGGUCUUCGGAUCGUAAAAUCCUGUCGUUAGAGAAGAAAGUGCGUGAGAGUAACUGCUCACGUUUCGACGGUAUCUAACCAGAAAGCCACGGCUAACUACGUGCCAGCAGCCGCGGUAAUACGUAGGUUGCAAGCGUUAUCCGGAUUUAUUGGGCGUAAAGGGAACGCAGGCGGUCUGUUAAGUCUGAUGUGAAAGCCUUGGGCUUAACCGGAGUAGUGCAUUGGAAACUGGGAGACUUGAGUGCAGUAGAGGAGAGUAGAACUCCAUGUGUAGCGGUGAAAUGCGUAGAGAUAUGGAGGAACACCAGUGGCGAAAGCGACUCUCUGGUCGGUGACUGACGCUGAGGUGCGAAAGCGUGGGUAGCAAACAGGAUUAGAUACCCCAGUAGUC
Molecule: ribosomal RNA, 465 nt
Filed under: uncultured bacterium
Lineage: Bacteria
Description: partial 16S ribosomal RNA
Rfam family: Bacterial small subunit ribosomal RNA
Source: RNAcentral